RNA transcript from Musa acuminata AAA Group (dessert banana), 2940 nucleotides. It is a transcript of the gene named shugoshin-1-like, with no coding region annotated. The transcript has 12 exons. The record is from RefSeq and is a predicted model, not a curated record. NCBI's taxonomy places the organism in Eukaryota, Viridiplantae, Streptophyta, Magnoliopsida, Zingiberales, Musaceae.
CUUCGGAGACAUCCGAUAAAAUUGGAACGAUACAGAGAAGAUUAGCAUGGCCCCUGCGCAAGGAUGACACGCACAAAUCGAGAAAUGGUCCAAAUUUUUUUUUCGCUCUCGGCAUUCUUUCCUUGUUCGAUCGCGAUCGGGCUGCUCUUCUUAUGCUCUUUUGUUCUUUCUUGCUUCGUGUUCUUCUGCUCUCUCUGUCCCAAAAUCUUAAUCUUUUUCCUUCUUAUUUCCUUGAUCAAGGCACAGGGAGGAAGAAAGCUGCUUCUUCGGAGUGCGGUCGUGUUCCUUGUCCUCGUUGGUCAGUCCAUGGACGCUGGUCCUCUUCCUCGCUCGCUGAUCCACACCAAUGCGGACGCCUCCGUAGAAUCAAAUCGCAUGAUGUGCUGCCCUUGGUCCGAAGCGCCGCUGCGAGGAAAAAGAUUGUCCGACAUCACCAACACGGUGAGUUCGGGGACGGCCGGAAUGAUGGGUGCCGAUGUCGAUCGAGGUAACUCGAAUGUGAUUUCUUGCCCGAUCUCCAAAGAUUGCAUCGUCCAGCUCAUGAAGCGCCGCUGCGAGGAAAAAGAUUGUCCGACAUUACCAACACGGUGAGUUCGGGGACGGCCGGAAUGAUGGGUGCCGAUGUCGAUCGAGGUAACUCGAAUGUGAUUUCUUGCCCGAUCUCCAAAGAUUGCAUCGUCCAGCUCAUGAAGCGCCGCUGCGAGGAAAAAGAUUGUCCGACAUCACCAACACGGUGAGUUCGGGGACGGCCGGAAUGAUGGGUGCCGAUGUCGAUCGAGGUAACUCGAAUGUGAUUUCUUGCCUGAUCUCCGAAGAUUGCAUCGUCCAGCUCAUGAAGGUACCUUUGGAGAUUUUCUUUUUGGUCUCCCUUUUUCAUCCUUUUUCAUUCUUCUUCGGAGUGCGGUCGUGUUCCUUGUCCUCGUUGGUCAGUCCAUGGACGCUGGUCCUCUUCCUCGCUCGCUGAUCCACACCAAUGCGGACGCCUCCGAAUCAAAUCGCAUGAUGUGCUGCCCUUGGUCCGAAGCGCCGCUGCGAGGAAAAAGAUUGUCCGACAUCACCAACACGGUGAGUUCGGGGACGGCCGGAAUGAUGGGUGCCGAUGUCGAUCGAGGUAACUCGAAUGUGAUUUCUUGCCCGAUCUCCAAAGAUUGCAUCGUCCAGCUCAUGAAGCGCCGCUGCGAGGAAAAAGAUUGUCCGACAUUACCAACACGGUGAGUUCGGGGACGGCCGGAAUGAUGGGUGCCGAUGUCGAUCGAGGUAACUCGAAUGUGAUUUCUUGCCCGAUCUCCAAAGAUUGCAUCGUCCAGCUCAUGAAGCGCCGCUGCGAGGAAAAAGAUUGUCCGACAUCACCAACACGGUGAGUUCGGGGACGGCCGGAAUGAUGGGUGCCGAUGUCGAUCGAGGUAACUCGAAUGUGAUUUCUUGCCCGAUCUCCGAAGAUUGCAUCGUCCAGCUCAUGAAGGAAUAUACUGCCUUGUUGAAGCUUCUUGCAGAAAAGAACAAAAUCAUAGAACUAAGAAGCACUGAGUUGCAAAAACUCCAAUUUGAAUUGCAGAAAACCAGUCAACAAAACUGGCAAUUGGCCCGGGCUAACUCACACAUGCUAGCGGUCGAUUCCUUGUUCAUUUUCUUUAUUGUUUCAGUUCGCAAAAAAGAUUUAUUCUUUAUCUGUUUCGUCUUUUGAUUCGCAGGAGCUCAACUUGGGGAAAGAUAGACUAAAUGUAUUACAACAUGAGCUUGGUUGUAUCUUAUCAAUCCUUAAACUAAAGACUUCAGAAUUAGAGGAGAAAGAAAAAUUGAUCAAAGAUCUCCUUAACAAAAUUGGCUCAGAGGUAGGAACCACCAAGUGUUAAGAGGUUGAAGCAAAUGCAACUCAACUUGCUAAUGACAAGAAAAUCUGUAGUCCCAAUAAGAAGCACGAGUUAAAACAACAGGCUUUAGGCCCUACCACUUUGGUUCAUCAAGUGGCAUCAGAGGGAAAGGUUGAUGGUAGAAGAAGGAGGUCCUUACGAACAAAAUCCAGUGGCUUGAAGUCUGAAUCAUGUGAAUUUGUGAAUGACCUGCUCAAAAGAGAUGAUGGCGGAUCUCCAGUGACCCAUCAAGUGGGCCUAGAGGAAAAGGUUGUGGGAAGAAGAAGUUCCUUCCGAACAAGAUCCUGUAGUUUGAAAUCUGAAUCACAUGAAUCUAUGGAGUUGCACAAGAUUGAUGAUGCCAUACUUCCAGUGACUUGUCAGGUGCCAUCAGAGGAAAAGAUUGAUGGAAGAAGAGCAGAAAAUCCUUGCGGAGGAGAUCCGGUUAUUUAAAGUCUGAAUCAUGUGAGCCUACUGAGAACUCAGUCAAGAUGGAGGAUGCCAAGUUUUUAGUUUAUACGAUCAAGAAUGAACGAGUAAGCUAUUGCUCAUGGAGAUUGUUAUUCUUCUUCCAUAUCAAAUAUUUCUGUUGAACGAGUAAAGAAUGAGAAGCAUAAUUCAAUUGGGUCUUCAGAACUCGGGAAUCGGGAGUGCCAAAGAAGAUCCUCUGUUGGAAGGCCAUUGAGAAGGUCGGUUCUUACAAAGAAAUGAAUCUGAAUGUAAAAAUGUGAAGAUCAGAGUACGAUUCUGGGUUAUCUGCUUACAUCACUAAAAUUUCAGAUGGUGCUAGCUGAGAGCUGCUGAUAUUCUUGGAUCCACUUAAUAUAUCUGCUAGAUGAGAGCUGGACAUGCCAAUGUUUUCUAUGUUCUUGAUAUUUUGUGAUGACAUGGUGAAAUGUAUUACUGUAUUGUAAGAUUAAUUAGUAGGAACCCAUAGCUUAGUUUUGUAGCUUCUUUCCUUCCUUUUAGUUUGCCCUGCACAAAACAGGGAUAUUUUGAGACAAAAUAGUAGUAGCAUUAUAUGUUGUAUGAUUUGCUACGAUUGAAAUUUAUACUUGUCUCAAGGAAAAAAUGGUGCUUUGUUUUUUCU